Molecule: long non-coding RNA, 362 nt
Organism: Manis javanica (Malayan pangolin)
Lineage: Eukaryota; Metazoa; Chordata; Mammalia; Pholidota; Manidae
Source: RefSeq, a predicted model, not a curated record
UUCGACAAGAAACCGUUGAGCCUCCACGCACCGCCAAGACUGAUGUUCUUUUGUGGCAGCCUCCUGAGAGGAAAUAACGGGCUCGUGCUGCUGAGGUCUUGGAUGGUUCCCAAGUUUUCUCCAACUCUCCUAGCAAGUAAAUUACCUAGCAAGAUCCCAUUCAGGAUACCGCCAGGGCAUUUGCCAUCAUUUCUCCUUAGUCUCCUCCAGGCUGACGGUUCCUCAGUCUUUCUGGGUCUUUCACAUCCCUGACGCUUUUGAAAAUUCUAUACUGGUCAGAAUUCAGGAGGAAAGGCGCCUAAGUUCCUGGAAGGAUUGGAAAUCUCAGAUAAAUUUGGGUAUCUGAAGCCCUGAAGAUCUCU